GGCGUACCUUUUGUAUAAUGGGUCAGCGACUUAUAUUCUGUAGCAAGGUUAACCGAAUAGGGGAGCCGUAGGGAAACCGAGUCUUAAUAGGGCGUCUAGUUGCAGGGUAUAGACCCGAAACCGAGUGAUCUAUCCAUGAGCAGGUUGAAAGUGACGUAACAGUUACCGGAGGACCGAACCCACUGUCGUUGAAAAGCCAGGGGAUGACUUGUGGAUAGGGGUGAAAGGCUAAUCAAACUCGGUGAUAGCUGGUUCUCCCCGAAAGCUAUUUAGGUAGCGCCUCGGACGAACACCAUUGGGGGUAGAGCACUGUUUCGGCUAGGGGGUCAUCCCGACUUACCAAACCGAUGCAAACUCCGAAUACCGAUGAGUGAUAUCCGGGAGACAGACGGCGGGUGCUAACGUCCGUCGUCAAGAGGGAAACAACCCAGACCGCCAGCUAAGGCCCCAAAUUCCUAGUUAAGUGGGAAACGAUGUGGGAAGGCACAGACAGCUAGGAGGUUGGCUUAGAAGCAGCCAUCCUUUAAAGAAAGCGUAAUAGCUCACUAGUCGAGUCGGCCUGCGCGGAAGAUGUAACGGGGCUCAAACUAGGAGCCGAAGCUGCGGAUUUAAUUGUUUCAAUUAAGUGGUAGGGGAGCAUUGUGUAAGCCUGUGAAGGUGUGUUGUAAAGCAUGCUGGAGGUAUCACAAGAGCGAAUGCUGACGUGAGUAACGACAAAACGGGUGAAAAGCCCGUUCGCCGGAAGACCAAGGGUUCCAGUCCAACGUUAAUCGGGGC
This 777-nucleotide ribosomal RNA is filed under the name Salmonella enterica subsp. enterica serovar Litchfield. RNAcentral's name for it is "partial 23S ribosomal RNA". It matches the Rfam family "Bacterial large subunit ribosomal RNA", at positions 598 to 1375 of the family's 2925-position model. The record is from RNAcentral. Lineage: Bacteria; Pseudomonadati; Pseudomonadota; Gammaproteobacteria; Enterobacterales; Enterobacteriaceae.